RNAcentral lists this ribosomal RNA (506 nucleotides) under uncultured bacterium. RNAcentral's name for it is "partial 16S ribosomal RNA". It matches the Rfam family "Bacterial small subunit ribosomal RNA", at positions 28 to 523 of the family's 1533-position model. The record is from RNAcentral.
GAUGAACGCUAGCUACAGGCUUAACACAUGCAAGUCGAGGGGUACCACGAGAAAAGCUUGCUUUUCUUGUUGACGACCGGCGCACGGGUGAGUAACGCGUAUCCAACCUGCCUAUAACUAGGGAAUAACCUUGCGAAAGUAAGCCUAAUCCCCUAUGAUUUCCUUUGAUGACAUCAGAUUAGGAAUAAUGAUUUAUCGUUUAUAGAUGGGGAUGCGUCUGAUUAGCUUGUUGGCGGGGUAACGGCCCACCAAGGUAACGAUCAGUAGGGGUUUUUAGAGGAAGGUCCCCCACAUGGGAACUGAGACACGGUCCAAACUGAUACGGGAGGCAGCAGUGAGGAAUAUUGGUCAAUGGGCGGAAGCCUGAACCAGCCAAGUAGCGUGCGGGAUGACGGCCCUAUGGGUUGUAAACUGCUUUUAUACAGGAAUAAAGUUAGCCACGUGUGGUUAUUUGUAGGUACUGUAUGAAUAAGGACCGGCUAAUUCCGUGCCAGCAGCCGCCGUAA